GCCCCUGCUCCCUCGUGCUCCGGGAAGGGCGGCAGCAGCUGCGGGCACCGGGCUCCGAGGAGGGCUCGCCCAAGCACGCGGCUGUGCAGGCGGCCAGCGAGCGAACGGGGAUUCUCUGCGAGCGCUUUUCGCGUGCCCAUGUGGGGCUGCUUCGGGGCGCUGCUGAAGGACCUUGCCCAGUUCAACAAAACCCGUGUUAAAUUAUAGACUUCUGUGCUUCGCUGGAAAGGAGUUGGGACACUGAGUUGUAAGGUGAAGGAAUUACCUCUGCUGAUGAAUAGUCUUUUCCAAAGAAAACAGAAUACUAUUUCUCUUGGAUCAAAAACAAAUUAGGCCAACUUGUAUCCAGUGUUUAUCUGUCACAGAGGACUUCUGUUUACAAGCUAAGAGGGCCACAAGAACAUCUGGGUCCUAUCAUCUGGAUUGCAAGGGCUAUUCUGGUCCACACUGAAUAGUUUCAAUGCAAGGACAGUAUUGAGGAAGAC
This is a long non-coding RNA of Vidua chalybeata, 485 nucleotides long. RefSeq lists it as uncharacterized. The transcript is spliced from 3 exons. The record is from RefSeq and is a predicted model, not a curated record. Lineage: Eukaryota; Metazoa; Chordata; Aves; Passeriformes; Viduidae.